RNAcentral lists this ribosomal RNA (469 nucleotides) under uncultured bacterium. RNAcentral describes it as "partial 16S ribosomal RNA". It matches the Rfam family "Bacterial small subunit ribosomal RNA", at positions 28 to 507 of the family's 1533-position model. The record is from RNAcentral.
GAUGAACGCUGGCGGCGUGCUUAACACAUGCAAGUCGAACGGUGAAGCUCCAGCUUGCUGGAGUGGAUCAGUGGCGAACGGGUGAGUAACACGUGAGCAACCUGCCCCUGACUCUGGGAUAACAGCCGGAAACGGCUGCUAAUACCGGAUAUGCACCAUGAACGCAUGUUCUGUGGUGGGAAAGAUUUUUCGGUUGGGGAUGGGCUCGCGGCCUAUCAGCUUGUUGGUGAGGUAAUGGCUCACCAAGGCGUCGACGGGUAGCCGGCCUGAGAGGGUGACCGGCCACACUGGGACUGAGACACGGCCCAGACUCCUACGGGAGGCAGCAGUGGGGAAUAUUGCACAAUGGGCGAAAGCCUGAUGCAGCAACGCCGCGUGAGGGAUGACGGCCUUCGGGUUGUAAACCUCUUUUAGCAGGGAAGAAGCGAGAGUGACGGUACCUGCAGAAAAAGCGCCGGCUAACUACGUG